UUAUCACCAUAGUCUCCAUCCUCUUCCUCCACCUUCACCUUCGUCUUCUCGCAGAGCUGCUGCUCACAGGUGCCGCCCGCAAGGGAUUCUGGGUGAUCAACCCUCUGCUCCUCUGAAUGGAAACAAAAGGAAACAUGAACUCGUCUCCUAGGCGACGGCUCCUGUCCAACAUCUGGUUCGUGUUUCAUGUUCUCAGUCGGUCACCAGGACAACCACCGGGAGGACCACCGACCGGCUGUCCGGAGAGACAACCGCUGACAACAUGCUAACAUGCUAACAAACAUCCGUUUGUUUACUUCCGGGAAACACCUUCACAAUAAAACGAUGACCGACGUG
This is a long non-coding RNA of Sebastes umbrosus (honeycomb rockfish), 336 nucleotides long. RefSeq lists it as uncharacterized. NCBI's taxonomy places the organism in Eukaryota, Metazoa, Chordata, Actinopteri, Perciformes, Sebastidae. The transcript is spliced from 2 exons. The record is from RefSeq and is a predicted model, not a curated record.